UACGUAGGGUGCAAGCGUUAAUCGGAAUUACUGGGCGUAAAGCGUGCGCAGGCGGUUUUGUAAGCCGGAUGUGAAAUCCCCGGGCUUAACCUGGGAAUGGCAUUCGGGACUGCAAGGCUGGAGUGCGGCAGAGGAGACUGGAAUUCCUGGUGUAGCAGUGAAAUGCGUAGAUAUCAGGAGGAACACCGAUGGCGAAGGCAGGUCUCUGGGCUGACACUGACGCUCAUGCACGAAAGCGUGGGGAGCAAACAGG
This 253-nucleotide ribosomal RNA is filed under the name uncultured bacterium. RNAcentral describes it as "partial 16S ribosomal RNA". It matches the Rfam family "Bacterial small subunit ribosomal RNA", at positions 524 to 776 of the family's 1533-position model. The record is from RNAcentral.